Molecule: ribosomal RNA, 468 nt
Filed under: uncultured bacterium
Lineage: Bacteria
Description: partial 16S ribosomal RNA
Rfam family: Bacterial small subunit ribosomal RNA
Source: RNAcentral
GACGAACGCUGGCGGCGUGCUUAACACAUGCAAGUCGAACGGAAAGGCCCUGCUUUUGUGGGGUGCUCGAGUGGCGAACGGGUGAGUAACACGUGAGUAACCUGCCCAUGACUUUGGGAUAACUUCAGGAAACUGGGGCUAAUACCGGAUAGAAGCUCCUGCUGCAUGGUGGGGGUUGGAAAGUUUCGGCGGUUGGGGAUGGACUCGCGGCUUAUCAGCUUGUUGGUGGGGUAGUGGCUUACCAAGGCUUUGACGGGUAGCCGGCCUGAGAGGGUGACCGGCCACAUUGGGACUGAGAUACGGCCCAGACUCCUACGGGAGGCAGCAGUGGGGAAUAUUGCACAAUGGGCGGAAGCCUGAUGCAGCAACGCCGCGUGCGGGAUGACGGCCUUCGGGUUGUAAACCGCUUUCGCCUGUGACGAAGCGUGAGUGACGGUAAUGGGUAAAGAAGCACCGGCUAACUACGUG